RNAcentral lists this transfer RNA (61 nucleotides) under Gyge ovalis. RNAcentral's name for it is "tRNA-Lys". Lineage: Eukaryota; Metazoa; Arthropoda; Malacostraca; Isopoda; Bopyridae. The record is from RNAcentral.
UACCAGGUGGCUGAAGUUUAAGCGAAGGUUUUUUACAUCUUAUAUGAUAUUUCCCUGGUGA